AUUGAACGCUGGCGGCAUGCUUUACACAUGCAAGUCGAACGGCAGCGGGGGCUUCGGCCUGCCGGCGAGUGGCGAACGGGUGAGUAAUGCAUCGGAACGUGCCCAAGUCGUGGGGGAUAACGUAUCGAAAGGUACGCUAAUACCGCAUACGCCCUGAGGGGGAAAGCGGGGGAUUCUUCGGAACCUCGCGCGAUUGGAGCGGCCGAUGUCGGAUUAGCUAGUAGGUGAGGUAAAGGCUCACCUAGGCGACGAUCCGUAGCGGGUCUGAGAGGAUGAUCCGCCACACUGGGACUGAGACACGGCCCAGACUCCUACGGGAGGCAGCAGUGGGGAAUUUUGGACAAUGGGCGCAAGCCUGAUCCAGCCAUGCCGCGUGAGUGAAGAAGGCCUCGGUGUAAG
Molecule: ribosomal RNA, 399 nt
Filed under: uncultured bacterium
Lineage: Bacteria
Description: bacterial SSU rRNA
Rfam family: Bacterial small subunit ribosomal RNA
Source: RNAcentral